CCCUUAGAUGUCCUGGGCCGCACGCGCGUUACACUGAUGCAUUCAACGAGCUUAUAACCUUGGCCGAGAGGCCUGGGCAAUCUUGUUAACGUGCAUCGUGAUAGGGAUAGAUUAUUGAAAUUAUUAAUCUUGAACGAGGAAUUCCUAGUAAACGCAGAUCAUCAAUCUGCAUUGAUUACGUCCCUGCCCUUUGUACACACCGCCCGUCGCACCUACCGAUUGGAUGGUCCGGUGAAGCCUCGGGAUUGUGGAUCUUGCCGCUUUAUUGUGGCGUGACCGCGAGAACUUGUCUAAACCUUAUCAUCUAGAGGAAGGUGAAGUCGUAACA
This 328-nucleotide ribosomal RNA is filed under the name uncultured eukaryote. RNAcentral's name for it is "partial 18S ribosomal RNA". It matches the Rfam family "Eukaryotic small subunit ribosomal RNA", at positions 1470 to 1796 of the family's 1831-position model. The record is from RNAcentral.